GAACGCACAUUGCGCCCCUUGGUAUUCCGGGGGGCAUGCCUGUUCGAGCGUCAUUAUCACCCCUCAAGCUCAGCUUGGUGUUGGGGCCUGCCCGUCACAGGGCAGCCCUUAAAAGCAGUGGCGGUGCCAUCUGGCUCUACGCGUAGUAAUACUUCUCGCGACGGAGUCCCGGUGGUGUCCUGCCAGAACCCCCAUAUUUUUAAUGAUUGACCUCGGAUCAGGUAGGGAUACCCGCUGAACUUAAG
RNAcentral lists this unclassified non-coding RNA (245 nucleotides) under uncultured Articulospora. RNAcentral describes it as "sequence contains 5.8S rRNA gene". The stretch from base 1 to 53 matches the Rfam family "5.8S ribosomal RNA", at positions 102 to 154 of the family's 154-position model. Lineage: Eukaryota; Fungi; Ascomycota; Leotiomycetes; Helotiales; Helotiaceae. The record is from RNAcentral.